CAGUCGCCGCGGUAAUAAGAAGGGUGCAAGCGUUAAUCGGAAUUACUGGGCGUAAAGCGCGCGUAGGUGGUUUGGUAAGAUGGAUGUGAAAUCCCCGGGCUCAACCUGGGAACUGCAUCCAUAACUGCCUGACUAGAGUACGGUAGAGGGUGGUGGAAUUUCCUGUGUAGCGGUGAAAUGCGUAGAUAUAGGAAGGAACACCAGUGGCGAAGGCGACCACCUGGACUGAUACUGACACUGAGGUGCGAAAGCGUGGGGAGCAAACAGGAUUAGAUACCCGCGUAGUCCCUGUCUCUUAUAC
RNAcentral lists this ribosomal RNA (301 nucleotides) under uncultured bacterium. RNAcentral's name for it is "partial 16S ribosomal RNA". It matches the Rfam family "Bacterial small subunit ribosomal RNA", at positions 509 to 807 of the family's 1533-position model. The record is from RNAcentral.